AGUAAUACAUCGGAACGUGUCUUCUAGUGGGGGAUAACUGCCCGAAAGGGCAGCUAAUACCGCAUGAGACCUGAGGGUGAAAGCGGGGGAUCGCAAGACCUCGCGCUGGAAGAGCGGCCGAUGUCCGACUAGCUAGUUGGUGAGGUAAAGGCUCACCAAGGCGACGAUCGGUAGCUGGUCUGAGAGGACGACCAGCCACACUGGGACUGAGACACGGCCCAG
This 222-nucleotide ribosomal RNA is filed under the name uncultured bacterium. RNAcentral describes it as "partial 16S ribosomal RNA". It matches the Rfam family "Bacterial small subunit ribosomal RNA", at positions 109 to 334 of the family's 1533-position model. The record is from RNAcentral.